This 204-nucleotide ribosomal RNA is filed under the name Vibrio parahaemolyticus. RNAcentral describes it as "partial 16S ribosomal RNA". It matches the Rfam family "Bacterial small subunit ribosomal RNA", at positions 793 to 996 of the family's 1533-position model. The record is from RNAcentral. Lineage: Bacteria; Pseudomonadati; Pseudomonadota; Gammaproteobacteria; Vibrionales; Vibrionaceae.
GUCCACGCCGUAAACGAUGUCUACUUGGAGGUUGUGGCCUUGAGCCGUGGCUUUCGGAGCUAACGCGUUAAGUAGACCGCCUGGGGAGUACGGUCGCAAGAUUAAAACUCAAAUGAAUUGACGGGGGCCCGCACAAGCGGUGGAGCAUGUGGUUUAAUUCGAUGCAACGCGAAGAACCUUACCUACUCUUGACAUCCAGAGAAC